Sander lucioperca (pikeperch) is the source of this 103-nucleotide long non-coding RNA. RefSeq lists it as uncharacterized. The transcript is spliced from 3 exons. The record is from RefSeq and is a predicted model, not a curated record. Lineage: Eukaryota; Metazoa; Chordata; Actinopteri; Perciformes; Percidae.
GGGGGACUGUUAGGCUGCCAACACAUGAUAAGCGAUUUGCUCUCUGCGCACCGCUAGGUAGGGCACAGAGCAAAGCACAGAGAGCAAAGCGCGGCGCAGAUAU